AAUCAACGCUGGCGGCGUGCCUCAGACAUGCAAGUCGAACGCGAAAGUUCCCUUCGGGGAGCGAGUAGAGUGGCGUACGGGUGAGUAACACGUAGGUAAUCUACCUUUGGGUGGGGAAUAACAGCCGGAAACGGCUGCUAAUACCGCAUAAUGCAGCGGCUCGACAUCGAGACAGUUGUUAAAGACGGGGGAGUCGCAAGACCUCGCGCCUAAAGAGGAGCCUGCGGCGGAUUAGCUAGUUGGUGAGGUAAUGGCUCACCAACGGCAUCGAUCCGUAGCCGGGCCUGAGAGGGCGGUCGGCCACACUGACACUGACAUACGGGUCAGACUCCUACGGGAGGCAGCAGUCGGGAAUUUUGGGUCAAUGGGCGAAAGACCUGACCCACGCAACGACCGCCGUGGGUGGAAGG
Molecule: ribosomal RNA, 410 nt
Filed under: uncultured bacterium
Lineage: Bacteria
Description: bacterial SSU rRNA
Rfam family: Bacterial small subunit ribosomal RNA
Source: RNAcentral